This is a non-coding RNA of Ameiurus melas (black bullhead), 73 nucleotides long. NCBI's taxonomy places the organism in Eukaryota, Metazoa, Chordata, Actinopteri, Siluriformes, Ictaluridae. The record is from the annotation of a GenBank genome assembly.
GACACAGUGGCUCAGUGAUUAGCACGUUCGCCUCACACCUCCAGGGUCCGGGGUUCGAUUCCCCGCGGAGUUU